This 269-nucleotide ribosomal RNA is filed under the name uncultured prokaryote. RNAcentral's name for it is "partial 16S ribosomal RNA". It matches the Rfam family "Bacterial small subunit ribosomal RNA", at positions 524 to 792 of the family's 1533-position model. The record is from RNAcentral.
UACGGAGGUGGCAAGCGUUACUCGGAUUUAUUGGGUGUAAAGGGCAUGUAGGCGGCCAUGUAAGUCGAAUGUGAAAUCCCGCAGCUCAACUGCGGAACUGCAUCCGAAACUACAUGACUUGAGUAUCGGAGAGGAGAGUGGAAUUCCCGGUGUAAGGGUGAAAUCUGUAGAUAUCGGGAAGAACACCUGUGGCGAAGGCGACUCUCUGGCCGAUUACUGACGCUGAAAUGCGAAAGCGUGGGGAGCAAACAGGAUUAGAUACCCGCGUA